AAGUCGUAACAAGGUUUCCGUAGGUGAACCUGCGGAAGGAUCAUUACUGAGUUACACUCAAACCCUGUUUAACAAUCUGUUGCUUCGGAGGCGCCCCUCGGGAGGGGAUCUGCUUCGGCCGCCUCCAACAGCACUUUUACUCUUCAACCUUGUCUUCAAUUUGAAUAAAAUAAAAAAUCAAAACCUCAACAACGGAUCUCUUGGUUACA
This 209-nucleotide unclassified non-coding RNA is filed under the name fungal sp. Its description in RNAcentral is "partial internal transcribed spacer region". The stretch from base 1 to 46 matches the Rfam family "Eukaryotic small subunit ribosomal RNA", at positions 1786 to 1831 of the family's 1831-position model. The record is from RNAcentral. Lineage: Eukaryota; Fungi.